Molecule: ribosomal RNA, 497 nt
Filed under: uncultured bacterium
Lineage: Bacteria
Description: partial 16S ribosomal RNA
Rfam family: Bacterial small subunit ribosomal RNA
Source: RNAcentral
GAUGAACGCUGGCGGCGUGCCUAAUACAUGCAAGUCGAGCGAACAGACGAGGAGCUUGCUCCUCUGACGUUAGCGGCGGACGGGUGAGUAACACGUGGAUAACCUACCUAUAAGACUGGGAUAACUUCGGGAAACCGGAGCUAAUACCGGAUAAUAUAUUGAACCGCAUGGUUCAAUAGUGAAAGACGGUUUUGCUGUCACUUAUAGAUGGAUCCGCGCCGCAUUAGCUAGUUGGUAAGGUAACGGCUUACCAAGGCAACGAUGCGUAGCCGACCUGAGAGGGUGAUCGGCCACACUGGAACGGAGACACGGUCCAGACUCCUACGGGAGGCAGCAGUAGGGAAUAUUCCGCAAUGGGCGAAAGCCUGACGGAGCAACGCCGCGUGAGUGAUGAAGGUCUUCGGAUCGUAAAACUCUGUUAUUAGGGAAGAACAAAUGUGUAAGUAACUAUGCACGUCUUGACGGUACCUAAUCAGAAAGCCACGGCCAACUACGUG